This 515-nucleotide ribosomal RNA is filed under the name uncultured bacterium. RNAcentral describes it as "partial 16S ribosomal RNA". It matches the Rfam family "Bacterial small subunit ribosomal RNA", at positions 28 to 523 of the family's 1533-position model. The record is from RNAcentral.
GACGAACGCUGGCGGCGUGCCUAAUACAUGCAAGUCGAGCGAUGAUUAAAGAUAGCUUGCUAUUUUUAUGAAGAGCGGCGAACGGGUGAGUAACGCGUGGGAAAUCUGCCGAGUAGCGGGGGACAACGUUUGGAAACGAACGCUAAUACCGCAUAACAAUGAGAAUCGCAUGAUUCUUAUUUAAAAGAAGCAAUUGCUUCACUACUUGAUGAUCCCGCGUUGUAUUAGCUAGUUGGUAGUGUAAAGGACUACCAAGGCGAUGAUACAUAGCCGACCUGGGAGGGUGAUCGGCCACACUGGGACUGAGACACGGCCCAGACUCCUACGGGAGGCAGCAGUAGGGAAUCUUCGGCAAUGGGGGCAACCCUGACCGAGCAACGCCGCGUGAGUGAAGAAGGUUUUCGGAUCGUAAAACUCUGUUGUUAGAGAAGAACGUUAAGUAGAGUGGAAAAUUACUUAAGUGACGGUACCUAACCAGAAAGGGACGGCUAACUACGUGCCAGCAGCCGCCGUAA